CGAAGGGGGCUAGCGUUGCUCGGAAUUACUGGGCGUAAAGGGCGCGUAGGCGGCACUGUUAGUCAGGCGUGAAAGUCCUGGGCUCAACCUGGGAACUGCGCUUGAUACGGCAGAGCUAGAGGAUGGAAGAGGCUCGCGGAAUUCCCAGUGUAGAGGUGAAAUUCGUAGAUAUUGGGAAGAACACCGGUGGCGAAGGCGGCGAGCUGGUCCAUUACUGACGCUGAGGCGCGACAGCGUGGGGAGCAAACAGGAUUAGAUACCCUGGUAGUCCACGCCGUAAACGAUGUGCGCUGGAUGUUGGGUGGCCUAGCCACUCAGUGUCGUAGCUAACGCGGUAAGCGCACCGCCUGGGGAGUACGGCCGCAAGGUUG
RNAcentral lists this ribosomal RNA (371 nucleotides) under uncultured organism. RNAcentral's name for it is "bacterial SSU rRNA". It matches the Rfam family "Bacterial small subunit ribosomal RNA", at positions 526 to 896 of the family's 1533-position model. The record is from RNAcentral.